GGGUCAGCGAUGAAAUCUUUGUCUUUUAUCUAGAGAGGUGUUGUCUUAAAAGUCUCGCACAAUAGAGUUACACUGAGGACA
Molecule: small nucleolar RNA, 81 nt
Organism: Carlito syrichta (Philippine tarsier)
Lineage: Eukaryota; Metazoa; Chordata; Mammalia; Primates; Tarsiidae
Gene: SNORD115
Rfam family: Small nucleolar RNA SNORD115
About the family: HBII-52 is a member of the C/D class of snoRNAs, which contain the C (UGAUGA) and D (CUGA) box motifs.
Source: Ensembl